UUAGACUCCAAGAUAAUCAUUACCAUCCCCCUUUUACAGAGGCAGAAAUGGACGUCCAAAAAUUUUAAGUACUAUGGUCCCCUCAGUGACUAAUGAAAAGCAAAUGAUGGGAAUGCAGCAAACUCUUCUGAUGCUGACCCUUUCAUGUCUUUGCACAACAAGAAGACAAGUGCCACCGAGGGCUCUGCCCAGUUGAUUUCUGAACAUAACAGAGAUUCUCCACUGUUUGAACGGAUGUCGGCCAUGUUGGAUUAGGACCCACCCUAACGGC
Molecule: long non-coding RNA, 271 nt
Filed under: Mustela putorius furo (domestic ferret)
Lineage: Eukaryota; Metazoa; Chordata; Mammalia; Carnivora; Mustelidae
Description: lncRNA (ENSMPUG00000027572.1)
Source: RNAcentral